Molecule: ribosomal RNA, 398 nt
Filed under: uncultured bacterium
Lineage: Bacteria
Description: bacterial SSU rRNA
Rfam family: Bacterial small subunit ribosomal RNA
Source: RNAcentral
GGAAUAUUGGACAAUGGGCGCAAGCCUGAUCCAGCAAUGCCGCGUGAGUGAUGAAGUCCUUAGGGUUGUAAAGCUCUUUUACCCGGGAUGAUAAUGACAGUACCGGGAGAAUAAGCCCCGUCUAACUUCGUGCCAGCAGCCGCGGUAAUACGGAGGGGGCUAGCGUUGUUCGGAAUUCCUGGGCGUAAAGCGAACGUAGGCGGCUUUGUAAGUUAGAGGUGAAAGCCCGGAGCUAAACUCCGGAACUGCCUUUAAGACUGCAUCGCUAGAACGUUGGAGAGGUAAGUGGAAUUCCGAGUGUAGAGGUGAAAUUCGUAGAUAUUCGGAAGAACACCAGUGGCGAAGGCGACUUACUGGACAACUGUUGACGCUGAGGUGCGAAAGCGUGGGGAGCAAAC